Molecule: transfer RNA, 63 nt
Filed under: Amynthas sp. CS029
Lineage: Eukaryota; Metazoa; Annelida; Clitellata; Crassiclitellata; Megascolecidae
Description: tRNA-Pro
Source: RNAcentral
CAGAUAGUAGUUUAUAAAAAUACUGACCUUGGGUGUCAAUGAUCGCUGAUGUGCGCUAUCUGA